CUGCCUCAAAGACCGGGACAACCUGCCGAAAGGGCUGGCUAAUACCGGAUAAGACUACGGGCUCUUCGGAGCCUGCAGGAAAAGGUGGCCUCUGUAUACAAGCUAUCACUUUGAGAUGAGCCCGCGGCCCAUCAGCUAGUUGGCGGGGUAACGGCCCACCAAGGCAACGACGGGUAGCUGGUCUGAGAGGACGAUCAGCCACACUGGAACUGAGACACGGUCCAG
Molecule: ribosomal RNA, 225 nt
Filed under: uncultured bacterium
Lineage: Bacteria
Description: partial 16S ribosomal RNA
Rfam family: Bacterial small subunit ribosomal RNA
Source: RNAcentral